Molecule: ribosomal RNA, 325 nt
Filed under: uncultured eukaryote
Lineage: Eukaryota
Description: partial 18S ribosomal RNA
Rfam family: Eukaryotic small subunit ribosomal RNA
Source: RNAcentral
CCCUUAGAUGUCCUGGGCCGCACGCGCGCUACACUGAUGCAUUCAACGAGCCUAUCCUUGACCGACAGGUCCGGGUAAUCUUUGAAUCUGCAUCGUGACGGGGAUAGAUUAUUGCAAUUAUUAAUCUUCAACGAGGAAUGCCUAGUAGGCGCAAGUCAUCAGCUUGCGCCGAUUACGUCCCUGCCCUUUGUACACACCGCCCGUCGCUCCUACCGAUUGGGUGUGCUGGUGAAAUGUUCGGAUCGGCCGUUUGUCGCGGUUUCCGCGGCUCGUGGCUGAGAAGUUCAUUAAACCCUCCCACCUAGAGGAAGGAGAAGUCGUAACA